This is a long non-coding RNA of Zingiber officinale, 1464 nucleotides long. RefSeq lists it as uncharacterized. The transcript is spliced from 11 exons. Lineage: Eukaryota; Viridiplantae; Streptophyta; Magnoliopsida; Zingiberales; Zingiberaceae. The record is from RefSeq and is a predicted model, not a curated record.
GGUCAAAUACGUUGAUCCAUUAAUGCACUCAUCAAUUGUUGGAGAUACCGCAUUUGAGACUAUGCUAAAUCUUGCUCAUCGUCUAGCCCCACCUCUUUUUAGCUAGGUUCUUUAUCAUGUCCUUGGUGUUCGUCCAGGCUUAUUAUCCACUAAUUGGGCCAUUGUUGAACGAGUUAUGCCUUGGUAUCCAAGCUAAUGGAUUGGCCAAAUCCCUUUCUGGAGUUUAUGCUAAGGAUUUGCACGCCUGCUUGACCGCUAUAAAAUGCAUUCCUUCUAUCCCUGGCCAUGUGCUUCGGAAUGAUGCUUUGAUCAUGACAAGUAUUUGGAUUGCUUGGAAGAUGUCUAUCCCUGGCCAUGUGCUUCAAGCCUUUGCUUCUAUCUUCCAUCUGCUUCUCCAUUACUCAAGGUGAUUGAUAGUUAAAACAAACUUAUAUUGCGGGUGCAUGCUGUGGAAGUGGACCUCAAUGAAAUAACGUUGGGGCAGCAGGUUGCUGAUGAUUCAACAUCAUAUGGAUGCUGCAUUUUGGUCGAAGAACUUCUACAAAACCUUCAAUUUUCAUUGCUUAUAGGGGACAAAUAAUGCUCAUCACCACUACGCCAUCAUGUUUUCACUACAUCACAUUGUUACUACAUCUUAUCAAGGCUUCCAUUUUUUUUAUUUGCAUUUUGGGAUACUAAAAAGGUGACAGGCAUUCACAAUCAUCAUCAAGUCAUGUUUAUCUCAACUAUCUAAGCUCGAGCGAGUUUUGUUGCAGAUGGGACAUAACUGCCAUGGACAAGCUUCAAGAAUACAUAAAAUUAUGGGACUUAACUGACGUGGAGACUAACAACGAACAGGUCCUUAAUGAUGAACUUUAUAUUUGGUUGAGACAAAGGACUACUAGCCAAAUAUUGUCUCGAAGUGUAUGUUUAAUUUCUCCUAAUUUAUGUAAACUGCUGCCUUUCUCCUUGCAUUUUGUCAAAUUGUCAAAUGCAGAGUUACUAGAGGAAUUCAUGAAUGUUGUGAAAUAUAGAUAUGUGGAAAAAGUACUUCUAAUUCAGUUUGAAGACUUUGCCAGCUAUAAUGCAUGAACUCCUUGCCAAAUAUCACAAAACACAUCUAGUCUUCAAUGAUGAUUAUACAAGCUGGUACCGGUAUUUGUAGAACUCAUGGCUCUUGAGAUGUCAAAGCAGAUUUUUAUGGCUGUUGUAGACAAAAGCUCCGUUGGAAGGAAUUUGCAAGAAGAUAUAGAUGGUUGAUUGUAAGGUAAUCAAGCCCACUAUUUUACUGGGUCAUCUGGAGUGGGAAAAACUUUCACUGAGGAAUACGACUACUUUUAAUGAGAAAUCCAUAAUUUUGGCUCUAUCUAGCCCUACCUCUCAAUCAGAAUGCAAUGCAGAAGAGGCAUAUUCAUGGCGUAAGGGUCAAGCAAUAUUUGCUAGUGGGAGUACAUUUGAUCCAAUUGAGUAUGAUGGAAAAGUUCU